This is a long non-coding RNA of Oxyura jamaicensis (ruddy duck), 3613 nucleotides long. RefSeq lists it as uncharacterized. The record is from RefSeq and is a predicted model, not a curated record. The transcript is spliced from 5 exons. Lineage: Eukaryota; Metazoa; Chordata; Aves; Anseriformes; Anatidae.
ACAUAUAAAAUUUGAUCACCUAAACAAGAUGAAUAGUAAGCGUUUGACACAGCCCCUGAAAUAAAUGAUGGUGGAUGCUCCAGAUAUCUUUAUCAUGUUGGGUACAUGCUCCAAACAAAGCUUGAACUGUCCUAUUCAUUUCCUUUCCACUCCAGCUGAUUCUUGGUACACAGAAUUGAAUCCUUCUAUAAAAUAACCUGAGAUGUCCUAUCUUAUGUGAUAUAGAUCUGUGCCCCAAAAUGACAAAAUCAUUUUCUAAACUCCAGAAAAACAUGGGAUAUGAUUUCUAGUGCUUCUAAAAGAAAAUGUUGGCUCACUUUUUACGAGUUAACAAAAACCAACAUAUUUAUUAUUCAUUUUAUAUUUCACUUAUACCAAAUGAGAGUGAAACUCUCUUGGUUUCUGGCUAAUGCAUUCAAAAGUCCCCUGGCCAUCACAGUGAAAAGGAAACCUGCAGCCAGACUUCACAACUUGAAAAACCUAGGCAGAAGUAAAGGGUAGUUACAUGUACCCUUGACAGAAGUAAGACAGAAUUUUCUCCUCUGGUUUUGGGUGAUUUUUUUUCUGUCAGAGGUGUGUGCAGUAUUUUUGAAAUAGAUGGAAAAAUAUAUGAUCAAUAGAUGAUUAAUAAUGAUAAAAAAUUAAAAAUCUAGCUUGUCUCUUCUUUCAUUUCUAGUACUUUCCCAUUACUUUUUCAGGAAACUUCCACUUAUGUCUAUAAAGGAUUGGAAAAUUUGUGCAAAUGUCAGCAUAAUUCAUUAGUAUAGUUUGCUGUGCUCUUGUGGUUGUCAUGUUAAUGCUCUCUAUCAUAUGUAGAUACUCAAUUCUCUCCUUCACUCCCCUCACAGUUUGCUAUUCUUUCUUUUUAUUUCUGCACUGAUGCACAGCCCCAGUUUCCUUCAUUACUGCUCAUUUUAAGCAGUAGCUUGCCAGGGCUUUGUCAGGGCUGGAGUUAGUGAGUGAUAGCUUAAAGACCCUGGAGCUGGGUAUCUGGAUUUCCGCCUCUCUAUCCCAGCAGUUAAAAUUGUUCUUUUGUGCCUCUGCACUUCUGUGUGUGAGUUAGAAAUUCACUUUGUAUGCAAUUUAGCAUCUUUAAAUUUUUUAACUGCCCUUAAGUAACAAGUUUGUUUAUUUAUUUAUUCCCAAAAAUGUCCUUCUGAGCUCAAAGUACUCUUGUCCAGAAGUUUGGUCCAGAGGACGAAGGUCAAUUCCACCAACAGGUACACCUUUGCAACUUUGUCUUUUCAAGGAAUGUUCUUUGGAGUCUCAAAGGGGUGUGCCUACAUUCUCUGGCAUCCAUACUGCCCAUUAUUGUGGAUCACACAGACCACAGGUAAGGAGGUCGGAGAGGUCAAGUAUGCAGAAUGAUCUGAUAGAGAUGAUGAGAGAAAUUAGGUCCCAUGAGUCUGCCAUAUGAAGGAGGAGAGACAGCAGAUGGCUCUGUGGCCUGUCUUGGUCCCAUCUUCUUGAUACCUAUAUGCCCCUUCUGACAGAACAUUGAGUAACUUGCUCCAAAUAAGAUGAAGAUUAAUUGUUUCUGUCUCCAGAGUGAUGGUCUUCUCCUGAGGCACUGUAUCCACUAUGAGGAUACAAAUGCACACCUUGAGAGUUUAUCUUUUUGGUUUUCUUCCCAAAAAGAAAAGCCAUUAUUACUUCAUCUUGCUUGCUUGUUGUAGUCACAGCCUAGGGUUGUAUGGAGAGUUUCAAUGUGGAUUUAAGUUGCACUGAGCUGAGAAGGCUUGUGGGAUUCCAGAUGGUUUGAGCUCAUCAAGGAAAAGAAAGUAUGGUCCAUGCAAUGAGUCCUAGUAAGAGUAGUGUUCAAAUAACCAGAAUCACAUUUAUUUUAAGCAACAUUAUAUUGUACUUAGUUGUUUAAGACCAGACUUUUAAAGGCAGUUUGGCACCUGGAAUUCAAAGAAAAUGCCAAGAUAAAGUGUACUACCACUGACUGCAAUGGUGCUUUUAAGUGCUUUUUGAAACUAAAUCCCAUUAAGUAUUUGUUUGCUUCAUCCUAAAAUAGUAUUUUUUUCAAAAGAGAAAACAAAGCAAAAAACAAACAAACAAACAAACAAAAACAUUUCAGGGCAAAUCUAAAAAGUUGUUUCCUUGCAGACAUUCCCAUUGACUUAUAAAACAUACUCUUAACAUGACCAGGCUGGCAGUGAUUCAGUACAGCUUGCUGGAGCUGAUUACCAAGAAUAAGCACCAACUGUCCUCACUCUCUUGUGGUCUCCUCACUGGUAGUUGGGCUCCUCUUGCUCUUAUGGCUUGGACCCCUGAAGGGGCAAGUCAGCUGCCCCAGAGACCCACUUACUACCCUGUAGAUAGCCUGGUGACUCUCCCCAUCUUUGUAUUACUACAAUGUCUGCUGAGCCCUAGCCUGGCUUGAUAACUAUACAACUCUGUGUAGCAAGGGUUUAUUUGCUACAAGACUUGCUUUCAUUGAAGGCAGAGGUAAUCCUUGUUGCUGACUUUACUGUGAGAAGAGGGAGAUUACUUCAUUCCAAAAAGCAGAUGGAGUAAUUUAAAAAGACUAUGGGACUCCAGGACAGGUGGAAGAAGAUUUUCAGUCAGCCCUUUAGGACCUGGAGAAUAUAAGAGUGAUUAAUGAGACACUGUUAAGAUAGUGAGUAACCAAGACAUGGCUGCUGAAUGUUACUGAAAUAAUAACCAGGCUUCUGGGAGUAAAAAGGCUCUUUCCAGGGUUUGGGGCAGGCAGGAUUGGGAAAAGAUGUGAAAGUUGGUGCUUGAGCUUUAUGCAUUAAUGUGCCUUUUUACAUUUCUUAUCAAAUUUAAGGGAAAAGAUGUAGCAUACCUGUCUCUGUGCUGCUGUUGUCAAUGUAUUUCUGUGACCUCUCAAAUGUGGAUUUAGGGUGUGUGCAUUUAGGGUGGAAGAGACCUCUUCCAUUCACCUUAUCCACUGGCUGUGUUUUGGGGACUAGCUCCAGGAGCUGUGGAAGUCUUUACCAUCAGCAUCCCUUUGCUUGCCUACAAAAAUAGAACCAUUUUCUACCUCACAAGAAAACAGAUAAAUUAACAGUGCAUAAUUUCUUAAGAAGAUUUACUAUGGGAGAAACUUAUUGGGAAUCUUCCAGGAGCUUGUUACCCAUCAAAUAUUCAGUUUUUAAGAUCAACAGCUUGAGUAAAUGGUAAGUUUAUUUAAUUUACUCUUCACAUAAAAAAUUGCAUUACAAUUAUACUUACAAUUUUUAUUGGAUAUUCUUUCAUUUUCAUGUGGUAUUAUAAAACAUCUAAGGGGUAGUGGGAAUGUAAUACUUCAGACACACAGAGUGUGGUUACUGCAUUCAUUAAUUGCCCAGCUAUUGCUUCAUGCUUUCAGACCAGUAUCAUUGUUUCAAAAAGUAGAUAGGGAGUGAUUUCAAAGAGAACUGAGUCAAGCCCAGAAAUCAUGUAUAUUAAAAUUUGUCUUGAACAGACCUUGUAAAACAGAGUUGCCCCUUUCUCUGAAUUUCAGCAAUUAUUGUUUCAUAGAUAAGAAAGACCUAUGGAAGCAAUUAUACCACAGAUAUAGACUCAUCUUUCAAGUCUUACAAAAUUCAGAUUUUGAAAUAAUUUUAUUUUUUUUUUCAAAUAAAUAUCUAUACUCUCCUAA